AAGAGUUUGAUCAUGGCUCAGAUUGAACGCUGGCGGCAGGCCUAACACAUGCAAGUCGAACGGUAACAGGAAGCAGCUUGCUGCUUUGCUGACGAGUGGCGGACGGGUGAGUAAUGUCUGGGAAACUGCCUGAUGGAGGGGGAUAACUACUGGAAACGGUGGCUAAUACCGCAUAACGUCGCAAGACCAAAGAGGGGGACCUUCGGGCCUCUUGCCAUCAGAUGUGCCCAGAUGGGAUUAGCUUGUUGGUGAGGUAACGGCUCACCAAGGCGACGAUCCCUAGCUGGUCUGAGAGGAUGACCAGCCACACUGGAACUGAGACACGGUCCAGACUCCUACGGGAGGCAGCAGUGGGGAAUAUUGCACAAUGGGCGCAAGCCUGAUGCAGCCAUGCCGCGUGUAUGAAGAAGGCCUUCGGGUUGUAAAGUACUUUCAGCGGGGAG
RNAcentral lists this ribosomal RNA (443 nucleotides) under Salmonella enterica subsp. enterica. RNAcentral describes it as "bacterial SSU rRNA". It matches the Rfam family "Bacterial small subunit ribosomal RNA", at positions 1 to 446 of the family's 1533-position model. RNAcentral also lists the same sequence under 1 other name. The record is from RNAcentral. Lineage: Bacteria; Pseudomonadati; Pseudomonadota; Gammaproteobacteria; Enterobacterales; Enterobacteriaceae.